GACGAACGCUGGCGGCGUGCUUAACACAUGCAAGUCGAACGGAAAGGCCCUGCUUUUGUGGGGUGCUCGAGUGGCGAACGGGUGAGUAACACGUGAGUAACCUGCCCUUGACUUUGGGAUAACUUCAGGAAACUGGGGCUAAUACCGGAUAGGAGCUCCUGCUGCAUGGUGGGGGUUGGAAAGUUUCGGCGGUUGGGGGUGGACUCGCGGCUCAUCAGGUUGUUGGGGGGGUAGUGGCUUAGCAAGGCUAUGACGGGUAGCCGACCUGGGAGGGGAGCCGGCUCAGUUGCGCUGGGGCUGCGGCCCAGACUCCUACCGGAGGCAGAAGAGGGGAAUAGUGCACAAGGGGAGGAAGCCUGACGCAGCAACGCAGCGCCGGGGAUGUCGGCCUGCGGGUAGGAUUCCGCUGUUGUCUGACACGAAGCGAGAGUGACGGUACUGGGUAAAGAAGCUCCGGCUAACUACGUG
RNAcentral lists this ribosomal RNA (468 nucleotides) under uncultured bacterium. RNAcentral describes it as "partial 16S ribosomal RNA". It matches the Rfam family "Bacterial small subunit ribosomal RNA", at positions 28 to 507 of the family's 1533-position model. The record is from RNAcentral.